Colias croceus (clouded yellow) is the source of this 3050-nucleotide RNA transcript. It is a transcript of the gene named prolyl endopeptidase, with no coding region annotated. The transcript is spliced from 17 exons. NCBI's taxonomy places the organism in Eukaryota, Metazoa, Arthropoda, Insecta, Lepidoptera, Pieridae. The record is from RefSeq and is a predicted model, not a curated record.
UUAGAAAUGUCAAAGCUGUCAGCUUGCAUGUCGGUGCUUCGGUUUUUUGCCAAUCAUCGCAGAUUUUCCGCAAAUCUCACAGUUUUUACAAUAAAACAAAGUCAAUUGUUUAUUAACGUGAAUAAUUCAAUUGCAGCUUCUUUCACAGGAAAUAUAUUGUGCGCUCGCGCAUCGUCCUCGACGCCGUGGAACAUGAGCUUUGCCUACCCGGAGGUGCGACGCGAUGAGACCGUGGUCGACGACUAUCAUGGAACUAAGAUAGUAGACCCCUACCGAUGGCUCGAAGAUCCAGACUCGGAGGAAACAAAGGCUUUCAUAGAAGCCGAGAACAAAAUAACGCGGCCGUUCCUGGACUCGUGCCCAGUGAAGAAGGACAUAAACGAGCGGCUGACAGAACUAUGGAACUAUCCAAAGUAUUCCUGCCCCUUCAGAAGAGGGGACAGAUACUUCUUCUUCAAAAACAGCGGUCUACAAAAUCAAAACGUCCUCUACGUGCAAGACAGUCUGGACGGGGAACCGCGCGUGUUCCUGGACCCAAACAAGUUAUCUGAAGACGGUACGGUGGCGCUCUCCGGGAGCCGUUUCACGGAGGAUGGCAAUACGUUCGCGUACGGGCUAUCUGCCAGCGGCUCGGAUUGGAUCACCAUACACAUGAAGGAUGUGGCCACUGGUGAAGAUUAUCCAGAAGUAUUAAAGAAAGUCAAAUUCGCAUCUAUGUCGUGGACCAAAGACAACAAAGGAUUGUUUUAUUCACGUUACCCAGAACAAACGGGCAAAACUGACGGUUCAGAGACGGAAGUGAAUCGUGAUCAAAAACUCUGUUACCACCGUCUCAACACGCCUCAAGAUCAAGAUGUCAUCGUCGUGGAAUUCCCUGAGGAGCCACUAUGGAGGAUUGGCGCGGAAGUGAGCGACUGCGGGCGCUACCUGCUGGUGUCGCCGGUGCGCGACUGCCGCGACAACCUGCUGUACUUCGCGGACCUCGCCAAGCACCCGGAGAUCAACGACAAGCUACCCCUUACGCAGAUUGUGCACAAAUUCGAGGCCGACUAUGAGUACAUCACAAACGAAGGCUCCGUGUGCAUAUUCCGCACGAACAAGAACGCGCCUAAUUAUAGAUUAAUCAAGAUCGAUUUGAACAAUCCUGCCGAGGAAAAUUGGGAGACGCUUAUCCCUGAACACCCUACUGACGUACUGGAUUGGGCAUCUGCUGUGGAUCACGACAAACUAGUCUUACAUUAUGUUCGUGAUGUUAAGAGUGUACUCCAACUGCACAGUAUGGCGAACGGAGAGCUGAUACAAGAAUUCGGCCUGGACGUGGGUUCCAUAGUGUCGUUCUCGGGCAAGAAGGAGCAGAGCGAGAUCUUUUACCACUUUAUGUCUUUCCUGACGCCCGGCAUCAUCUACCAUGUUGACUUUAAGAAGAAACCGUACACUCCAACAGUGUUUAGAGAAGUAACAGUAAAGGGCUUUGACCCAACACAAUAUGAGGCUAAACAAAUUUUCUACUCAAGCAAAGAUGGCACCAAAGUUCCUAUGUUCAUAGUGCACAAAAAGGGUAUCGCGCUAGACGGCAACAACCCAGCGCUAGUGUACGGCUACGGCGGGUUCAACAUCAACGUGCAGCCGAGCUUCAGUGUCACGCGGCUCGUGUUCAUGCAGCACAUGGGCGGCGUGCUGGCCAUACCGAACAUACGGGGCGGCGGAGAGUACGGCGAGCGCUGGCACAACGCGGGGCGGCUGCUGAACAAGCAGAACGUGUUCGACGACUUCCAGGCGGCGGCCGAGGAGCUGCACCGGCGCGGCUACAGCCGGCCCGCGCUCACCACGGCGCAGGGCGGCUCCAACGGCGGCCUGCUCGUGGCCGCCUGCAUCAACCAGCGGCCCGACCUCUACGGCGCCGCGGUCGUGCAGGUCGGUGUUCUCGACAUGUUGCGGUUCCAGAAGUUCACAAUCGGCCACGCGUGGGUAUCAGACUACGGUAGUUCAGAUAACAAGACGCACUUUGAGAAUUUGCUCAAGUAUUCACCGCUGCACAAUAUUCAGCCACCGGACAAUGUGAGCCGCGCGGAGUACCCCGCGACGCUGGUGCUGACGGCGGACCACGACGACCGCGUGGUGCCGCUGCACUCGCUGAAGUACAUCGCGGCGCUGCAGCACGCGGCCCGCGCCGCGCCGCAGCGCCGCCCGCUGCUCGCGCGCGUCGACACCAAGGCGGGCCACGGCGGCGGCAAGCCCACCGCCAAGAUCGUGAGUGUACCGCACUGUAAACACUGAAGUACAUCGCGGCGCUGCAGCACGCGGCCCGCGCCGCGCCGCAGCGCCGCCCGCUGCUCGCGCGCGUCGACACCAAGGCGGGCCACGGCGGCGGCAAGCCCACCGCCAAGAUCGUGAGUGUACCGCACUGUAAACACUGAAGUACAUCGCGGCGCUGCAGCACGCGGCCCGCGCCGCGCCGCAGCGCCGCCCGCUGCUCGCGCGCGUCGACACCAAGGCGGGCCACGGCGGCGGCAAGCCCACCGCCAAGAUCGUGAGUGUACCGCACUGUAAACACUGAAGUACAUCGCGGCGCUGCAGCACGCGGCCCGCGCCGCGCCGCAGCGCCGCCCGCUGCUCGCGCGCGUCGACACCAAGGCGGGCCACGGCGGCGGCAAGCCCACCGCCAAGAUCGUGAGUGUACCGCACUGUAAACACUGAAGUACAUCGCGGCGCUGCAGCACGCGGCCCGCGCCGCGCCGCAGCGCCGCCCGCUGCUCGCGCGCGUCGACACCAAGGCGGGCCACGGCGGCGGCAAGCCCACCGCCAAGAUCAUUGAAGAACACACGGAUAUCCUGUGCUUCAUGACACAGGCGCUCGGCCUCAAGUUCGAGAAGUGAGAGACACUGCCAUAUUUGAAAACAAAGUAUUAAGAGUACCACGAGAUGCAAUAGUAUUAUGUAAAUAAAGUGAACACAAACACAUCUGUUGAUUACCUCGGGUCUUGAUUGAUGAGACUGGUGAUAUUUGUUACGCAUUGCUAUUUUUUUAUUAAAUAAACUUUGUUUUUAUUA